CACAUGCAAGUCGAACGAGGUCCAUGCAGUGGCAACACUGCGGAAGACCUAGGUGGCGAACGGGUGAGUAACACGUGAGGAACCUGCCCCGAGACCGGAUAACCCUCCGAAAGGAGAGCUAAUACCGGAUACCCCCACCUGGUCGCAUGGCCGGGGUGAGGGAAAUGGAUUCCGCUUCGGGAGGGCCUCGCGGCCUAUCAGCUAGUUGGUGAGGUAACGGCUCACCAAGGCAUCGACGGGUAGCUGGUCUGAGAGGACGAUCAGCCACACUGGGACUGAGACACGGCCCAGACUCCUACGGGAGGCAGCAGUGGGGAAUCUUGCGCAAUGGGCGAAAGCCUGACGCAGCAACGCCGCGUGGGGGAUGAAGGCUCUCGGGUUGUAAACCCCUUUCAGCAGGGACGAAAUUGACGGUACCUGCAGAAGAAGCCCCGGCUAACUACGUGCCAGCAGCCGCGGUAACACGUAGGGGGCAAGCGUUGUCCGGAUUUAUUGGGCGUAAAGCGCGUGUAGGCGGUCUCGUUAGUCGG
RNAcentral lists this ribosomal RNA (530 nucleotides) under uncultured bacterium. Its description in RNAcentral is "bacterial SSU rRNA". It matches the Rfam family "Bacterial small subunit ribosomal RNA", at positions 52 to 591 of the family's 1533-position model. The record is from RNAcentral.